UGGUGGGUUGCCUUGUCAGGUUGAUUCCGGUAACGAACGAGACCUCAGCCUGCUAAAUAGUCACUUCCGCAUUCGUGCGGUUGGCAGACUUCUUAGAGGGACUAUAAGCGUCUAGCUUAUGGAAGUAUGAGGCAAUAACA
Molecule: ribosomal RNA, 140 nt
Filed under: uncultured eukaryote
Lineage: Eukaryota
Description: partial 18S ribosomal RNA
Rfam family: Eukaryotic small subunit ribosomal RNA
Source: RNAcentral